GGGGAAUUUUGCGCAAUGGGCGAAAGCCUGACGCAGCAACGCCGCGUGUGUGAUGAAGGCCCUCGGGUUGUAAAGCACUGUUCAGAGGGAAGAACAAGCGGGGGUAACGCCCCGCCCUGACGGUACCUCUGAAGAAAGCACUGGCUAACUCCGUGCCAGCAGCCGCGGUAAUACGGAGAGUGCGAGCGUUGUUCGGAAUUACUGGGCGUAAAGGGCGUCUAGGCGGCCUGCCAAGUCAGGUGUGAAAUCCCUCGGCUCAACCGAGGACGUGCAUCUGAAACUGGCGGGCUUGAGUACUGGAGGGGGCAGCGGAAUUCCCGGUGUAGAGGUGAAAUUCGUAGAUAUCGGGAGGAACACCAGUGGCGAAGGCGGCUGCCUGGCCAGAUACUGACGCUGAAGCGCGAAAGCGUGGGGAGCAAAC
Molecule: ribosomal RNA, 421 nt
Filed under: uncultured bacterium
Lineage: Bacteria
Description: bacterial SSU rRNA
Rfam family: Bacterial small subunit ribosomal RNA
Source: RNAcentral